AUUGAACGCUGGCGGAAUGCUUUACACAUGCAAGUCGAACGGUAGAGGGGGGCAACCCCCUUGAGAGUGGCGAACGGGUGAGUAAUAUAUCGGAACGUGCCCAGUCGUGGGGAUAACGUAGCGAAAGUUACGCUAAUACCGCAUACGAUCUAAGGAUGAAAGCGGGGGAUCGCAAGACCUCGCGCGAUUGGAGCGGUCGAUAUCAGAUUAGGUAGUUGGUGAGGUAAAGGCUCACCAAGCCGACGAUCUGUAGCUGGUCUGAGAGGACGACCAGCCACACUGGGACUGAGACACGGCCCAGACUCCUACGGGAGGCAGCAGUGGGGAAUUUUGGACAAUGGGCGCAAGCCUGAUCCAGCAAUGCCGCGUGCAGGAUG
Molecule: ribosomal RNA, 377 nt
Filed under: uncultured bacterium
Lineage: Bacteria
Description: bacterial SSU rRNA
Rfam family: Bacterial small subunit ribosomal RNA
Source: RNAcentral